GAGAUUGACUUUCUGUAAUAUAUAUGUUUUCACAAUGAAAAAGAUACUGAUUUUAAUUACGUUAACCGUAUUUUUAAUCUAUUUUUACAACUUAUUACAGCUGAGAGCCUCAGGUUCCAAAAAUCUCAAUCCGACCCUGCUACUGUGGUAAUUGUAAGUGAUAAUACCGUAUGUUUGGUAACAAUCGUAGGAACGUAAUCUCAGGGACUAACGCGCUUGUUAACGUAAUCACCAAACGAUCGAGGUGGUAUUCUGCCUAAACCUACUAGGCUAACGUCACCAAGAGAAUCUUUAUUUAAAACGUAAAUGCAUUGAAACUCGCAUUUCCUUCGACAUCAAGGAAUUAUCCGUAUAAAAAUCAUGUUAUCGUUCUGGUUUUCCCAACCCUGAGCCAAGCAAUGCCUUUGUUCGAUGGGAUUAGUAACACAGGUAAGUACACCUACCUGACUAAGCGUCAUUGUUUUCGUUUCAUAAUCGCGAAUGACCGUGACCAAUGGCAGCCUGUCCCGAGUGAUCCACAGACCAGCGAUGCUGCUGACCGUCCGACCUUCCGGAAGAAUAUUUGUUUCGUUCGCUAUAUCAUUUAAAUGGCUGUAGAUAUCGUCAGCGAAGAAGGUUCGUAGAUUCCUGAAAAAUUAUACUCGAAUCAUGUUCAAAAUUGCAUUGAAAUUAUUAUAGAUUUAUCGUUAGUUAUGGUGGUAAAAUGGGUGUUUAAUAAAAAUCAUCACUGUUGUAAACUCUAGCUAUAUUGCCGCUAUUUACUAUAUUACCACUCGUUCUAUAUUGCCAAUUUCACAAAUCCCCCCUGUUGUUAGCUCUUUCGAGGUGGUGGGGAGGCAUUGUAGGGGAAUUCGUGCUGCGGCGGUGAGGUGGUGGGGAUACGAAUAUUUCGAGAUACUGCAGAGUUUAAACGUAAUAUUAAAACCAAUCAUCCCGGUAUAUAGAAAUUGGAACUGGUUGCAAAGUUACGUACCCGAAGAACAUCAAGCCCCAGUUGUCAGUUGGAUUAUCGUGGAGCCAAGGAAGCGCCACAAUGUCGAGUUUAGGCAGGACUAUCGAACUAUUGAAGUAUUCUUGUAAAUAGUUCAUAAUCCAGACAAUCUUGUCGGGCACGUGUUCUAGGGAAUCCAAGUGUUUUUUUGGUGCCCAAACUUUGAUCUCCACCCUUCUACCGUCCAUUUCGUUAAUUUCCUCGUUAGGUGAAAUGCUUGUAAAAUCGGACACCAACAGAGCUAACUGAUAGGUGGACAUUUUCGGUGUCGUUUCAAAGUGAUCCCAUACGAAAUUUUGAUUGUCCGAUCUAAGUAACGAGAAUAAAAAAGUUUAGAAAUAUAUUUGUUAAUCAUUUAAAAGCUAAAAAAAUUUUUUUAAAAGGAUUAAGGAUAAUAAGACUGACAUUAUUUACCAGUUCAAACAGAAAUUGAUACCGAUGGUUACUUACGCUGCGGUAAGUUCCAGAGGGGUGUUUGAAAGAGCGGUCAUGUUCACUGGUCGAAGGACGCUCAAUUU
Molecule: non-coding RNA, 1509 nt
Organism: Osmia lignaria (orchard mason bee)
Lineage: Eukaryota; Metazoa; Arthropoda; Insecta; Hymenoptera; Megachilidae
Source: RefSeq, a predicted model, not a curated record